UCCAACAGGAAGAAACCCAAAAGGGAGUGGGAAGGAACCUAACCUUCAUAGUCAACAACACAUAUGACCCAACAACUAACCCUGCUGAAGCAAGAAGGUUAAGAUACAAGGAGUGGUAAACUCAGAGUCAUUGAACAAAGAGAUUUAGAUGGUUCAAAGAAGUUUAAUCUAAGAAGGGAUAGAAUAAACCAUAACAUCAAAAUAAAAAUGUAGGAACAAACGUGGAUGAGAGAGAGAAAGAACUCAUCCUAUUCCCCAUCACCAAACUCUUCGUCGGGAUUCUUCCUUUGCUUUUCAGAUUUUCAUACAUCAUGCCUAGGUAAACAGUAAACCCAACAUUGAGAUCAAAUCAUCAAAGAACCAAAAAAUAGGGGGAAGAAGAUGGCGAGACGCAGAUGUGCAACCUAGAUUGGGGACGAUGACGAGGGCCGGAGAGUAGCGUCCGGCACAUGACGCAAGCGCCGUUUGGAACACCAGCCUCUCUGCUCCUUCCCCAGUGACGUCUUCCUCUGCUCCUUCCCCCCACCGCCGUCCUCCUCUGCUACUGGGCAGCGACUGGCUGCUGCCCCUGCUCCCCUCGUCCCGCCGAGUCGAGGAGAGGGGUGGCGACGAGGAGGGACCGCCAUGGCGCGCGCUGAGGGAGAAGAACGUCGUCUCAAUCAUGGCUGAAACUUUAACUCCUUUUUUCUGAUGAGAACAUGAUGCUCCUUUUAGCAUUACUUCAUUUUUAAACAGGUCUCAAUCAUGGCUGAAGCUUUAACUCCUUUUUCUGAUGAGAACAUGAUGCUAUCUUGAUGUAGAUUAAUUCACCGUGGCAUCUUGUUUUAACAUACAGGUUUUUCUCUAAACAUGAAAAUCUAUACGUACAGAGAUACAUAACCCUGAAGCCGAGUGAUGAUUAUUCCUUUUAGCAUUACUUCAUUUUUAAACAGGUCUCAAACAUGGCUGAAAGUUUAACUCCUUUUUCUGAUGAGAACAUGAUGCUAUCUGGAUGUAAAUUAAUUCAUCGUGGCAUCUUGUUUUAACAUAAAGGUUUUUCUCUAAACAUGAAAAUCUAUACGUACAGAGAUACAUAACCCUGAAGCUGACGUUGAGUGAUGAUUAAAUUAGACUGAAGUUUACUAAGUACCCUUUAUAUAAAUAAAUGCAAUUUUUCCUCUGAACCAAACAUCAAACAACACAAUAGCAGCCAACCACAAGUUUCAUUCAAUCAAUAGUCUGUUUAUGGUACCCUCAAGCAUAAAGGAUUUACCUUGACUACCCGAAGUUAUCUGAAUCUGAUAGGAGAAUGGAUUUGCUCACCUAAGCUCUGGGGCGUGGACAGCGGCUGGUGAUGGCCUUC
RNAcentral lists this long non-coding RNA (1342 nucleotides) under Triticum aestivum (bread wheat). RNAcentral's name for it is "long non-coding RNA (TAES_LNC023861)". The record is from RNAcentral. Lineage: Eukaryota; Viridiplantae; Streptophyta; Magnoliopsida; Poales; Poaceae.